This 73-nucleotide transfer RNA is filed under the name Gemmata massiliana. It matches the Rfam family "tRNA". From Rfam's summary of the family: Transfer RNA (tRNA) molecules are approximately 80 nucleotides in length. Their secondary structure includes four short double-helical elements and three loops (D, anti-codon, and T loops). The record is from RNAcentral. Lineage: Bacteria; Pseudomonadati; Planctomycetota; Planctomycetia; Gemmatales; Gemmataceae.
CUCGGUGAAGCUAACACGGUUGAAGCGCCGCGCUGAAAACGCGGAGGAGCUGGUUCGACUCCGGCCGCCGGGA